GCCCUUAAUGCGUUUUGAACACGGCGACUGUUAAUCAGGGGGUCGUUGGUUCGAGUCCAACUUCGGGCGCCA
RNAcentral lists this transfer RNA (72 nucleotides) under Xylella fastidiosa subsp. multiplex. Its description in RNAcentral is "tRNA-Asn". The record is from RNAcentral. Lineage: Bacteria; Pseudomonadati; Pseudomonadota; Gammaproteobacteria; Lysobacterales; Lysobacteraceae.